Molecule: non-coding RNA, 30 nt
Filed under: Mus musculus (house mouse)
Lineage: Eukaryota; Metazoa; Chordata; Mammalia; Rodentia; Muridae
Source: RNAcentral
GACAACUCAAUCGGAACGUGCCUUGCAACA